UACGUAGGCAGCGAGCGUUGUUCGGAAUUACUGGGCGUAAAGAGUGUGUAGGUGGUGCUCUAAGUUCGGUGUGAAAUCUCCCGGCUUAACUGGGAGGGUGCGGCGAAAACUGGAAUGCUAGAGGAUGGGAGAGGUAAGCGGAAUUCCUGGUGUAGCGGUGAAAUGCGUAGAUAUCAGGAGGAACACCUGUGGUGUAGACAGCUUACUGGACCAUUUCUGACGCUGAGACGCGAAAAGCGUGGGGAGCGAACAGG
This 254-nucleotide ribosomal RNA is filed under the name uncultured bacterium. RNAcentral's name for it is "partial 16S ribosomal RNA". It matches the Rfam family "Bacterial small subunit ribosomal RNA", at positions 524 to 776 of the family's 1533-position model. The record is from RNAcentral.